UACGGAGGGUGCAAGCGUUAUCCGGAUUUACUGGGUUUAAAGGGUGCGUAGGUGGGUCGGUAAGUCAGCGGUGAAAUCUUCGAGCUUAACUCGGAAACUGCCAUUGAUACUAUCGAUCUUGAAUCAUCUGGAGGUAAGCGGAAUAUGUCAUGUAGCGGUGAAAUGCUUAGAUAUGACAUAGAACACCAAUUGCGAAGGCAGCUUACUACGGAUGUAUUGACACUGAGGCACGAAAGCGUGGGGAUCAAACAGG
RNAcentral lists this ribosomal RNA (253 nucleotides) under uncultured bacterium. RNAcentral's name for it is "partial 16S ribosomal RNA". It matches the Rfam family "Bacterial small subunit ribosomal RNA", at positions 524 to 776 of the family's 1533-position model. The record is from RNAcentral.